UCAAACUUGGUCAUUUAGAGGAAGUAAAAGUCGUAACAAGGUUUCCGUAGGUGAACCUUCGGAAGGAUCAUUACCAUUUGCAGAACCCACCCUCGCACUCGCGAGGUGGGUGCACUGUAUACCCUUGACUUUAAGCACCUUUUGUUUCCUCGGCGGGUUCGCCCGCCAACGAGGACCCCAUAAACUCUUUGCAGUAGCAGUGUUUGUCUGAAAAACAAUUGAAUAAUCAAAACUUUCAACAAUGGAUCUCUUGGUUCUGGCAUCGAUGAAGAACGCAGC
RNAcentral lists this unclassified non-coding RNA (279 nucleotides) under uncultured fungus. RNAcentral's name for it is "partial contains small subunit ribosomal RNA, internal transcribed spacer 1, and 5.8S ribosomal RNA". The stretch from base 1 to 73 matches the Rfam family "Eukaryotic small subunit ribosomal RNA", at positions 1759 to 1831 of the family's 1831-position model. The record is from RNAcentral. Lineage: Eukaryota; Fungi.